This is a long non-coding RNA of Etheostoma spectabile (orangethroat darter), 96 nucleotides long. RefSeq lists it as uncharacterized. The record is from RefSeq and is a predicted model, not a curated record. NCBI's taxonomy places the organism in Eukaryota, Metazoa, Chordata, Actinopteri, Perciformes, Percidae. The transcript has 5 exons.
UGAGAGAGAACAAAAAAAAGAACCAUUUACACACUUUACAAAAAAAAGGUACAAUUAUCAGAGACACUGCAAAACAGAGACAAGAGGCAACGGACA